GUGUUUGUCAUAGGACUUUUGGCUAAGAUCAAGUGUAGUAUCUGUUCUUAGCAGGUUAAUGUCUGAUAUGUCCCUUAUCAGGGGACCAUAUGUAUCUUUUCUUAUAUUGUGGGAUAUUAUACUUGUCAUGAGAUACUUGUAUUUAACCCAUAUGUUUAGCACUGUGUGAAAUAGUAUUUGCAUAAAUGUACUUCACUCA
Molecule: small nuclear RNA, 199 nt
Organism: Hypanus sabinus (Atlantic stingray)
Lineage: Eukaryota; Metazoa; Chordata; Chondrichthyes; Myliobatiformes; Dasyatidae
Product: U2 spliceosomal RNA
Exons: 1
Source: RefSeq, a predicted model, not a curated record